UGGCUAAAAGAUAGUACAACUAUUUUUGAAUUAAAAGAAAUAGUAAAUUGAAAUAGCUUGAAGGGGACUCCAGAGACUGCAGACACCGACAGAUGUACCUUGUGUAUCCUGUGGAAUGAAGUCAACAGCAAGUCUCAAGAUCAUCUUGGACUGACACCAAAAUCUGCACAAGAAGUGCAGAGUGCAGUAAUAGUACAACCUAACCCAUGUAGUAAGUAUCAAGCCUAACCUCGGCGAAGUAGUGACGAGGCUAAGACAAGACAUACACAAAAUAUGGCAUGACCUCACCCUUUGUGCACCAACACUCACAAUAUGGCACGACAUCAUCCUUCGUGCAUUAUCACUCACAAAAUAUGGAACGUCAUCAUCCUUCAUACUUCUACAAUCUCCCUCACAAAAAAAGUAACAAUAAUAAUAGGGAGAUAGAAAUAAUAUUAACAAAUAAUAUUUCAACCUUUGAUUCCACAAAUAUCACCCUCAUCUUUGAGUCAAUACUCAAUCACUUCCAAAGUUCAUAAACAUGAUAGGAGUGCUCAACAUAACAAGUAGAUAGUCUAAACAAUUAUAAUAUAAUCAAAGAAAGCAAUAAUCACAUGAAUAGGAACCACUCGCAUGCUAUAACUUUACGACAAUUCAUAGGUACUCGUCAGCUCGCCUAUACAUAGUACAUAAUGUCACACCCCAUAUUUCCUCGCGGAGUUCGGGUUUUGACAUUUCUUUGGGGCAACUCCUUUCCUUUAGGGAAUUAGUUAUGGAAUUUGAGGAGUCGCCACCUAACGGAUUUAAGGUGCAUUAGGCCACCUAAAGCAAAUAACUCGUAAACUGAUUUGCAUAACCAGAGAUUAGGUAAGGGCUCAAAAUAAACAUGAG
This 870-nucleotide long non-coding RNA is filed under the name Nicotiana benthamiana. RNAcentral's name for it is "long non-coding RNA (NBEN_LNC011676)". The record is from RNAcentral. Lineage: Eukaryota; Viridiplantae; Streptophyta; Magnoliopsida; Solanales; Solanaceae.